UUGUUUGGACUAUGGUUCCUCAACGUGUUUGAAUUUACAUUUAGUUUUGGUCUCAUUGCUACUGCGCUUCCUUUCUCUUGGGUUGUAGGAGUUUCUUUGUAUUCAAAACUCUUGCCCAUGGACAUUCAAGGUUAUGGACAAGGUGUAAGACGGUCCAUGGAGUCCUUAGCUGCUAUUAUUGGUCCACUUUGGUCAGGAACACUGUCUGAUACUGAUCCUAAUUACUACCUUUUUUUCACUCUCCCUUCCUUUCUAUUAUUGUUUGUUCUGAUUCUUUUAUUGGCCUCAUUCAAAAGA
Molecule: long non-coding RNA, 297 nt
Organism: Amphimedon queenslandica
Lineage: Eukaryota; Metazoa; Porifera; Demospongiae; Haplosclerida; Niphatidae
Exons: 3
Source: RefSeq, a predicted model, not a curated record